AUCAUUCAGAAAUGGUAUACAGGAAAAUGACCUAUGAAUUGACAGACACUAUGGCUGAGUUUGUCUGUCAUUUCUUUAGGCCAAUAUUCUGUAUGACUGUGCUACUUCAA
Molecule: microRNA precursor, 110 nt
Filed under: Colobus angolensis palliatus
Lineage: Eukaryota; Metazoa; Chordata; Mammalia; Primates; Cercopithecidae
Description: miRNA (ENSCANG00000006641.1)
Rfam family: mir-192/215 microRNA precursor family (bases 19-92)
About the family: This family represents the human microRNA (miRNA) precursors mir-192 and mir-215. Animal miRNAs are transcribed as ~70nt precursors and subsequently processed by the Dicer enzyme to give a ~22nt product.
Source: RNAcentral